UCAUGGCUCAGGAUGAACGCUGGCGGCGUGCUUAACACAUGCAAGUCGAACGAUGAUCCUCAGCUUGCUGGGGGGAUUAGUGGCGAACGGGUGAGUAACACGUGAGUAACCUGCCCUUGACUCUGGGAUAAGCCUGGGAAACUGGGUCUAAUACCGGAUACGACCAUCUGGCGCAUGUCAUGGUGGUGGAAAGCUUUUGUGGUUUUGGAUGGACUCGCGGCCUAUCAGCUUGUUGGUGGGGUAAUGGCCUACCAAGGCGACGACGGGUAGCCGGCCUGAGAGGGUGACCGGCCACACUGGGACUGAGACACGGCCCAGACUCCUACGGGAGGCAGCAGUGGGGAAUAUUGCACAAUGGGCGCAAGCCUGAUGCAGCGACGCCGCGUGAGGGAUGACGGCCUUCGGGUUGUAAACCUCUUUCAGUAGGGAAGAAGCGUAAGUGACGGUACCUGCAGAAGAAGCGCCGGCUAACUACGUGCCAGCAGCCGCGGUAAUACGUAGGGCGCAAGCGUUAUCCGGAAUUAUUGGGCGUAAAGAGCUCGUAGGCGGUUUGUCGCGUCUGCUGUGAAAGACCGGGGCUCAACUCCGGUUCUGCAGUGGGUACGGGCAGACUAGAGUGCAGUAGGGGAGACUGGAAUUCCUGGUGUAGCGGUGAAAUGCGCAGAUAUCAGGAGGAACACCGAUGGCGAAGGCAGGUCUCUGGGCUGUAACUGACGCUGAGGAGCGAAAGCAUGGGGAGCGAACAGGAUUAGAUACCCUGGUAGUCCAUGCCGUAAACGUUGGGCACUAGGUGUGGGGGACAUUCCACGUUUCCGCGCCGUAGCUAACGCA
Molecule: ribosomal RNA, 831 nt
Filed under: Paenarthrobacter sp.
Lineage: Bacteria; Bacillati; Actinomycetota; Actinomycetes; Micrococcales; Micrococcaceae
Description: bacterial SSU rRNA
Rfam family: Bacterial small subunit ribosomal RNA
Source: RNAcentral